This 253-nucleotide ribosomal RNA is filed under the name uncultured bacterium. RNAcentral's name for it is "partial 16S ribosomal RNA". It matches the Rfam family "Bacterial small subunit ribosomal RNA", at positions 524 to 776 of the family's 1533-position model. The record is from RNAcentral.
UACGGAGGGUGCAAGCGUUAUCCGGAUUCACUGGGUUUAAAGGGUGCGUAGGUGGGUUGGUAAGUCAGUGGUGAAAUCUCCGAGCUUAACUUGGAAACUGCCAUUGAUACUAUCAGUCUUGAAUAUUGUGGAGGUAAGCGGAAUAUGUCAUGUAGCGGUGAAAUGCUUAGAUAUGACAUAGAACACCAAUUGCGAAGGCAGCUUACUACACAACUAUUGACUCUGAUGCACGAAAGCGUGGGGAUCAAACAGG